AUCAAUAAGCGGAGGAAAAGAAACCAACAGGGAUUGCCCUAGUAACGGCGAGUGAAGCGGCAACAGCUCAAAUUUGAAAUCUGGCUCCUUUGGGGUCCGAGUUGUAAUUUGUAGAGGGUGCUUUGGCGUUGGCUCCGGCCUAAGUUCCUUGGAACAGGACGUCACAGAGGGUGAGAAUCCCGUACGUGGCCGACCGUCUUCGCCGUGUAAAGCCCCUUCGACGAGUCGAGUUGUUUGGGAAUGCAGCUCUAAAUGGGAGGUAAAUUUCUUCUAAAGCUAAAUAUUGGCCAGAGACCGAUAGCGCACAAGUAGAGUGAUCGAAAGAUGAAAAGCACUUUGGAAAGAGAGUCAAAAAGCACGUGAAAUUGUUGAAAGGGAAGCGCUUGCAGCCAGACUUGCCUGUAGUUGCUCAUCCGGGCUCCUGCCCGGUGCACUCUUCUAUUGGCAGGCCAGCAUCAGUUUGGGCGGUCGGAUAAAGGCCUCGGGAAUGUAGCUCUCUUCGGGGAGUGUUAUAGCCCGGGGUGUCAUGCGACCAGCCUGGACUGAGGUCCGCGCAUCUGCUAGGAUGCUGGCGUAAUGGCUGUAAGCGGCCCGUCUUGAAACACGGACCAAGGAGUCUAACAUCUAUGCGAGUGUUUGGGUGUCAAGCCCGGGCGCGUAAUGAAAGUGAACGGAGGUGGGAACCCCCCGGGGUGCACCAUCGACCGAUCCUGAUGUCUUCGGAUGGAUUUGAGUAAGAGCAUAGCUGUUGGGACCCGAAAGAUGGUGAACUAUGCCUGAAUAGGGUGAAGCCAGAGGAAACUCUGGUGGAGGCUCGCAGCGGUUCUGACGUGCAAAUCGAUCGUCAAAUUUGGGCAUAGGGGCGAAAGACUAAUCGAACUAUCUAGUAGCUGGUUCCUGC
This 901-nucleotide ribosomal RNA is filed under the name Quadricrura septentrionalis. RNAcentral describes it as "LSU rRNA". It matches the Rfam family "Eukaryotic large subunit ribosomal RNA", at positions 42 to 961 of the family's 3401-position model. The record is from RNAcentral. Lineage: Eukaryota; Fungi; Ascomycota; Dothideomycetes; Pleosporales; Tetraplosphaeriaceae.